Molecule: long non-coding RNA, 1072 nt
Organism: Rattus norvegicus (Norway rat)
Lineage: Eukaryota; Metazoa; Chordata; Mammalia; Rodentia; Muridae
Source: RefSeq, a predicted model, not a curated record
AAACAGUGAUGGAGGAGUUUCCAAGGCCAGGGCUGAGGAGGCAGGAAGUGGUGUCUGGAGCCCUCUCCGCCCCACCUCCCCCCAAAUCCUGCUGGGGAGUCCAUCCAGAGUGUAGCAGUGACGUCUCAAUAACACUCCUAUCUACAGUGACUCUCAGAAGGAAACCUUCAUUGGCAGUACAUAUCCUGAACGGACUCAGGCUCUCUCUGCUUUUGCACAGUCUCUUCUCUGGCGGUGUCCACUGUGGAUGAAGGAGGUCACUCAUGGAUAAAGGAGGUCAUGGAAGUUGGUCGCUCUGGUUCGAAUGAGAAUGCCAAUCACAGUUACUAGAAUUUGAAUACUUGAUCACAACUGGGAAGGUAGAGAGUUGUGGCCUUGAUGGAGAGGAUGACAAAAAAAAUUAUUCAAAGGAAAUAGCUUAAGAUUUGCUCAUCAUUCAAAGGACAAAAGAUUUGAGAAUCUCAGAUUCCUCAGCUGAAUGGUGGUGAACCUGGACGGUAAGAUCAUAGUUCAAGCAAGCAGAAUUCUGUUGUGGUGCAGAGAAUAAAGGAGGCAUCGCUUGAAACUUGCCAGAUCUUCUAAAACUCACAGAUCCACAGUGCUGCCAUCAAGAACAUCUGGACUAGUGAGACACCGUCUGCUUAGAAAGGGAAGGAGAUAAGCCGAUGCUAUUCUACUGCUAACAGGACAGCCUACCAAGUGCAUGAUAUACUAUUGAAAUAGUGGACCCCCAAGAACUGGAAUUUCCCCCAGGGGGCUCUUGCAGAAUCCUGGUACCAGCCAGAGGAAGAACUUAUCACACCACAAGAGAUCUCACAUACUUCUGGUUAUUGUCAGAUUACAUUGUAGAAGAGAGUGGUGUUUGGACAAUGGCAGGCACUCUCCUGGUAUCAAAAAACAGCUAAAGGAAGAUACAUCUGCUGAUCUGAAAGUGAUUCUGACCAGGGAAGGAAAGAAGCCAACAUAUAUUAACAUCAUGAAUUCGCAGCAGGCUGCUUGACCCCUUCUGGUGUGUGGACUGGGCAGCUCCCUGGAGGAAGGACAUAAAUGUCACUGUGGGGACAAACUUGAG